ACACGACUACAUUAGAUACCCGGGUAGUCCCAGCCCUAAACGAUGCGCGUUAGGUGUAUCGGUGACCACGAGUCACCGAGGUGCCGAAGGGAAACCGUGAAACGUGCCGCCUGGGAAGUACGGUCGCAAGGCUGAAACUUAAAGGAGUUGGCGGGGGAGCACCACAACGGGUGGAGCCUGCGGUUUAAUUGGACUCAACGCCGGGAAGCUCACCGGAUAAGACAGCGGAAUGAUUGCCGGGCUGAAGACCCUGCAUGACCAGCUG
Molecule: ribosomal RNA, 265 nt
Filed under: uncultured archaeon
Lineage: Archaea
Description: partial 16S ribosomal RNA
Rfam family: Archaeal small subunit ribosomal RNA
Source: RNAcentral